RNAcentral lists this ribosomal RNA (505 nucleotides) under uncultured bacterium. RNAcentral's name for it is "partial 16S ribosomal RNA". It matches the Rfam family "Bacterial small subunit ribosomal RNA", at positions 28 to 507 of the family's 1533-position model. The record is from RNAcentral.
GACGAACGCUGGCGGCGUGCCUAAUACAUGCAAGUAGAACGCACAGUUUAUACCGUAGCUUGCUACACCACAGACUGUGAGUUGCGAACGGGUGAGUAACGCGUAGGUAACCUGCCUGGUAGCGGGGGAUAACUAUUGGAAACGAUAGCUAAUACCGCAUAAUAUUAAUUAUUGCAUGAUAAUUAAUUGAAAGGUGCAAUUGCACCACUACCAGAUGGACCUGCGUUGUAUUAGCUAGUAGGUGAGGUAACGGCUCACCUAGGCGACGAUACAUAGCCGACCUGGGAGGGUGAUCGGCCACACUGGGACUGGGACACGGCCCAGACUCCUACGGGAGGCAGCAGUAGGGAAUCUUCGGCAAUGGACGAAAGGCUGACCGAGCAACGCCGCGUGAGGGAAGAAGGUUUUCGGAUCGGAAAGAUCUGUUGUAAGAGAAGAACGGGUGUGAGAGUGGAAAGUUCACACUGUGACGGUAUCUUACCAGAAAGAGACGGCUAACUACGUG